RNAcentral lists this ribosomal RNA (460 nucleotides) under uncultured bacterium. RNAcentral's name for it is "partial 16S ribosomal RNA". It matches the Rfam family "Bacterial small subunit ribosomal RNA", at positions 338 to 795 of the family's 1533-position model. The record is from RNAcentral.
CCUACGGGUGGCAGCAGUGAGGAAUAUUGGUCAAUGGGCGGAAGCCUGAACCAGCCAAGUAGCGUGCAGGAUGACGGCCCUACGGGUUGUAAACUGCUUUUAUACGGGAAUAACGCGCCUUACGUGUAGGGCUUUGCAUGUACCGUAUGAAUAAGGACCGGCUAAUUCCGUGCCAGCAGCCGCGGUAAUACGGAAGGUCCGGGCGUUAGCCGGAUUUAUUGGGUUUAAAGGGCGCGUAGGCCGCAUGUCAAGCGUGCUGUGAAAUGUCCGGGCUCAACCCGGGCCUUGCAGCGCAAACUGGGGUGCUGGAGUGCGCGGAAGGCAGGCGGAAUUCGUCGUGUAGCGGUGAAAUGCUUAGAUAUGACGAAGAACCCCGAUUGCGAAGGCAGCUUGCUGCAGCGGAACUGACGCUGAUGCUCGAAAGCGCGGGUAUCGAACAGGAUUAGAUACCCGAGUAGUC